Molecule: ribosomal RNA, 496 nt
Filed under: uncultured bacterium
Lineage: Bacteria
Description: bacterial SSU rRNA
Rfam family: Bacterial small subunit ribosomal RNA
Source: RNAcentral
AUGAACGCUAGCGGCAGGCUUAAUACAUGCAAGUUGAGGGGCAGCAUGAUAUACGCGAGUAUAUUGAUGGCGACCGGCGGACGGGUGAGUAAUAGGUAGGAGACCUACCUCAUACGAGGGGGAUAGCAUAGAGAAAUCUGUGGUAAUACCCCAUGAGGUUAUAUGAAUAGAGGCAUAUAAUCAAAGCAUAAGCGAUUAUGCGGUAUGAGAGGGGCCUACUGACCAUUAGCUAGUUGGUGAGGUAAGGGCUCACCAAGGCGAAGAUGGUUAGGGGUUUUGAGAGAGAGACCCCCCACAUUGGAACUGAGAGACGGUCCAGACUCCGUACGGGAGGCAGCAGUAGGGAAUAUUGGGCAAUGGGCGAAAGCCUGACCCAGCCAUGCCGCGUGAAGGAAGACGGCCUUAUGGGUUGUAAACUUCUUUACUACGCGAAUAGAGGUUAGUACGAGAUACUAAUAGGAAGGUAGUGUAGUAAAAAGCACCGGCUAACUCCGUG